RNAcentral lists this ribosomal RNA (440 nucleotides) under uncultured bacterium. Its description in RNAcentral is "partial 16S ribosomal RNA". It matches the Rfam family "Bacterial small subunit ribosomal RNA", at positions 338 to 795 of the family's 1533-position model. The record is from RNAcentral.
CCUACGGGAGGCAGCAGUGGGGGAUAUUGCACAAUGGGGGAAACCCUGAUGCAGCCAAGCCGCGUGAGUGAAGACGGUCUUCGGAUUGUAAAGCUCUGUUCAUGGUGGAGAUAAUGACGGUAGCCAAGGAGAAAGCUACGGCUAACUACGUGCCAGCAGCCGCGGUAAUACGGAGGGAGCGAGCGUUGUCCGGAUUUACUGGGUGUAAAGGGUGCGCAGGCGGCUCGGAAAGUCAGUCGUGAAAGCUAGGGGCUCAACCCCUAAAUUGCGCUUGAAACUGUGGAGCUUGAGUGAAGUAGAGGCAGGCGGAAUUCCCGGUGUAGCGGUGAAAUGCUUAGAGAUCGGGAGGAACACCAGUUGCGAAGGCGGUCUGCUUGGCUUUAACUGACGCUCAGGCACGAAAGCAUGGGUAUCAAACAGGAUUAGAUACCCGUGUAGUC